GAUGAACGCUGGCGGCGUGCCUAAUACAUGCAAGUCGAGCGAACAGACGAGGAGCUUGCUCCUCUGACGUUAGCGGCGGACGGGUGAGUAACACGUGGAUAACCUACCUAUAAGACUGGGAUAACUUCGGGAAACCGGAGCUAAUACCGGAUAAUAUAUUGAACCGCAUGGUUCAAUAGUGAAAGACGGUUUUGCUGUCACUUAUAGAUGGAUCCGCGCCGCAUUAGCUAGUUGGUAAGGUAACGGCUUACCAAGGCAACGAUGCGUAGCCGACCUGAGAGGGUGAUCGGCCACACUAGAACUGAGACACGGUCCAGACUCCUACGGGAGGCAGCAGUAGGGAAUCUUCCGCAAUGGGCGAAAGCCUGACGGAGCAACGCCGCGUGAGUGAUGAAGGUCUUCGGAUCGUAAAACUCUGUUAUUAGGGAAGAACAAAUGUGUAAGUAACUAUGCACGUCUUGACGGUACCUAAUCAGAAAGCCACGGCUAACCACGUG
This 497-nucleotide ribosomal RNA is filed under the name uncultured bacterium. Its description in RNAcentral is "partial 16S ribosomal RNA". It matches the Rfam family "Bacterial small subunit ribosomal RNA", at positions 28 to 507 of the family's 1533-position model. The record is from RNAcentral.